UACGUAGGCAGCGAGCGUUGUUCGGAAUUACUGGGCGUAAAGAGUGUGUAGGCGGUGCUCUAAGUUCGGUGUGAAAUCUCCCGGCUUAACUGGGAGGUGCGCCGGAAACUGGAGUGCUCGAACGUGGGAGAGGAAAGCGGAAUUCCUGGUGUAGCGGUGAAAUGCGUAGAUAUCAGGAGGAACACCUGCGGUGUAGACGGCUUUCUGGACCAUUGUUGACGCUGAGACACGAAAGCGUGGGUAGCAAGCAGG
This 252-nucleotide ribosomal RNA is filed under the name uncultured bacterium. RNAcentral's name for it is "partial 16S ribosomal RNA". It matches the Rfam family "Bacterial small subunit ribosomal RNA", at positions 524 to 776 of the family's 1533-position model. The record is from RNAcentral.